GGCGCCUUAGCUCAGUCUGGUAGAACGUCAGUUUCAUGAGCUGAAGGUCCGGAGUUCAAAUCUCCGAGGCGCCA
RNAcentral lists this transfer RNA (74 nucleotides) under archaeon. RNAcentral describes it as "tRNA-Met". It matches the Rfam family "tRNA". Rfam says of the family: Transfer RNA (tRNA) molecules are approximately 80 nucleotides in length. Their secondary structure includes four short double-helical elements and three loops (D, anti-codon, and T loops). The record is from RNAcentral.